RNAcentral lists this ribosomal RNA (440 nucleotides) under uncultured bacterium. RNAcentral describes it as "partial 16S ribosomal RNA". It matches the Rfam family "Bacterial small subunit ribosomal RNA", at positions 338 to 795 of the family's 1533-position model. The record is from RNAcentral.
CCUACGGGAGGCAGCAGUGGGGAAUAUUGCACAAUGGGGGAAACCCUGAUGCAGCGACGCCGCGUGAGUGAAGAAGUAUUUCGGUAUGUUAAGCUCUAUCAGCAGGGUAGUAAAUGACGGUACCUGUUUAAGAAGCCCCGUCGAACUACGUGCCAGCAGCCGCGGUAACACGGAGGGGGCCAGCGUUAUCCGGAUUUACUGGGUGUAAAGGGAGUGUAGACGGCAGCACAAGUCUGGAGUGAAAUGCCGGGGGUUAACCCCGGAACUGCUUUGGAAACUGUGCAGCUAGAGUGCAGGAGGGGUAAGUGGAAUUCCUAGUGUAGCGGUGAAAUGCGUAGAUAUUAGGAGGAAAACCAGUGGCGAAGGCGGCUUACUGGACUGUAACUGACGUUGAGGCUCGAAAGCGUGGGGAGCAAACAGGAUUAGAUACCCCAGUAGUC